GAGCCUGGAGGUCAACGCCCGACAGCGCGUCCGCGCCCUCGGGCGCGAAACCG
The sequence is a small RNA, 53 nucleotides long. It matches the Rfam family "ffh sRNA". The record is from Rfam.